CCUACGGGUGGCAGCAGUGGGGAAUAUUGGACAAUGGGCGAAAGCCUGAUCCAGCCAUGCCGCGUGUGUGAAGAAGGCCUUCGGGUUGUAAAGCACUUUCAGUGGGGAAGAAAGCCUUGGGGCUAAUACCCUCGAGGAAGGACAUUACCCACAGAAGAAGCACCGGCUAACUCCGUGCCAGCAGCCGCGGUAAUACGGAGGGUGCGAGCGUUAAUCGGAAUUACUGGGCGUAAAGCGCGCGUAGGCGGUCUGAUAAGCCGGUUGUGAAAGCCCCGGGCUCAACCUGGGAACGGCAUCCGGAACUGUCAGGCUAGAGUGCAGGAGAGGAAGGUAGAAUUCCCGGUGUAGCAGUGAAAUGCGUAGAGAUCGGGAGGAAUACCAGUGGCGAAGGCGGCCUUCUGGACUGACACUGACGCUGAGGUGCGAAAGCGUGGGUAGCAAACAGGAUUAGAUACCCCUGUAGUC
RNAcentral lists this ribosomal RNA (465 nucleotides) under Vreelandella stevensii. RNAcentral's name for it is "partial 16S ribosomal RNA". It matches the Rfam family "Bacterial small subunit ribosomal RNA", at positions 338 to 795 of the family's 1533-position model. Lineage: Bacteria; Pseudomonadati; Pseudomonadota; Gammaproteobacteria; Oceanospirillales; Halomonadaceae. The record is from RNAcentral.